This 63-nucleotide transfer RNA is filed under the name Hyalopterus pruni. RNAcentral describes it as "tRNA-Asp". Lineage: Eukaryota; Metazoa; Arthropoda; Insecta; Hemiptera; Aphididae. The record is from RNAcentral.
AAGAAAUUAGUUAAAACAUAACAUUAAUUUGUCAAAUUAAAAUUAUUUUAAAAAUAUAUCUUA